RNAcentral lists this ribosomal RNA (335 nucleotides) under uncultured Planctomycetales bacterium. RNAcentral's name for it is "bacterial SSU rRNA". It matches the Rfam family "Bacterial small subunit ribosomal RNA", at positions 473 to 806 of the family's 1533-position model. The record is from RNAcentral. Lineage: Bacteria; Pseudomonadati; Planctomycetota; Planctomycetia; Planctomycetales.
CUAAGGCUCCAGAGGAAGCCACGGCUAACUCUGUGCCAGCAGCCGCGGUAAUACAGAGGCGGCAAGCGUUGUUCGGAAUUAUUGGGCGUAAAGAGCACGUAGGCGGCCUUGCAAGUCAGUUGUGAAAGCCUUCCGCUUAACGGAAGAAUGCCAGCUGAUACUACAGGGCUUGAGUACGGGAGGGGAGAGUGGAACUUCUGGUGGAGCGGUGAAGUGCGUAGAUAUCAGAAGGAACGCCGGCGGCGAAAGCGACUCUCUGGCCCGAAACUGACGCUGAGUGUGCGAAAGCUAGGGGAGCAAACGGGAUUAGAUACCCCGGUAGUCCUAGCCGUAAG